Long non-coding RNA from Ornithorhynchus anatinus (platypus), 845 nucleotides. RefSeq lists it as uncharacterized. The transcript has 2 exons. The record is from RefSeq and is a predicted model, not a curated record. NCBI's taxonomy places the organism in Eukaryota, Metazoa, Chordata, Mammalia, Monotremata, Ornithorhynchidae.
GGUGGGGCCUCUGGGCAUUUGGAUCUGCCCUCAGCAGCCCCAGGGGACAGGCCUGCUCCAGAGCCAGCUGAGCCACCCUCGCAAAGACCUUGGAGCCAACCCCCCAUCACUCAACCUGAACUAGAAGGCAGCAGGCAAGUAGUGUUUCACUCUUCUGCUCCUUCCCCCGCUUCUCCAUGUAGUUGCAUGGGUCCUGGACCAGGUCUGGGUGUGAGCCAGUGGCAGAUUGGGUUCAGUCAGCCUACCCAAGGGAGAAUCGGGAAAGAUUGACCCUGCCCUGCCCCUGGGGUGUACUGAUCCAGAGGCUGAGUUGUGGCUGGAGACGGUGGUUUGGGGGCUCUCAGCCAGAGCUCUCUCUGGGAUGGAAUCAAACCCUUCAUUUUGUACCCAAAAUAAUUAAUGCCUCCCUUCCCCCUAGCUUUUGGAAUUGGACUUCCAGCCUGAAUCAUCCCAGGUCUCUGACCAUAAAGGAUGGCCUUCUUUGAAGCCUGUCUCUCUCAGUUCUCACACUCUUCUAAAUCCCUGUGCCCCUGCUCGCCCUGGUGCUCACAGUGAAAAGUUGGCAGCAGCUAUGGAUCAAGUCAGCCAUCGCUCUGAGUCCAGCUUCUCCAGUUCCUCCAAUUUCCUGCCCUGGGCACUUGGUGAACCCCAGAACUAAGGUGCUGGAGAGCUCCAGCCAGGCCAAAGCCAACGUGAACCCUGAAGCGCACACAACAUGAGGAAGCUGAGAAAGCUGUUAGCGAGGUUCGGGAGCAGGCCAAACAGCGGCGUGUCAGGCCCAGCCUGGUCCAACAAUUGUAUUGUGAAGUGUGUCCAGGAGGGAAAAUGGUUUAUUUUUAACGGAA